CCCACACAGAUCCUGAUGCCAUUCAGUAAUAGUUGUUGUCAUCUCUCUCAGGUCCAAGUCCAGGUCUCGCAUGUCACUUUUCGGACCAUGAAUUGAUUCCUUUCAGAUUACAUUCUGCUAGAAUGCCAUGUGAUGACAAGAUCCCUGUCAUGGAAGUCAACAACUAGUCGGCAUUGUCAGAUAAAUAUCAAUGAUGCAUCAUUUACGUGAUCGGCUGACUGUG
Molecule: long non-coding RNA, 223 nt
Filed under: Elaeis guineensis (African oil palm)
Lineage: Eukaryota; Viridiplantae; Streptophyta; Magnoliopsida; Arecales; Arecaceae
Description: long non-coding RNA (EGUI_LNC010382)
Source: RNAcentral